This is a long non-coding RNA of Micropterus salmoides (largemouth bass), 1418 nucleotides long. RefSeq lists it as uncharacterized. The record is from RefSeq and is a predicted model, not a curated record. NCBI's taxonomy places the organism in Eukaryota, Metazoa, Chordata, Actinopteri, Centrarchiformes, Centrarchidae. The transcript has 3 exons.
UCGUGGAGAGUCUCCAUCCAGCUGGAUCUCUGUCACAGGUGAGGAGCUCAAAGAUAAUUCUCAAACUGAUCUCAUUUUGUUUUCUACAUUGACUUUAGCAGGUUUCAGGACAGCAGAGAUGAUUCAUAAUGUGACAUUUCUAACUAAAUUUCUUAACGUUCAACCCACCGUUUGAUAUUUGAUCUUUUUUACUCUACCUAACCUAAGUCAGAAUUUGCAGAGUGUGAAACAAACAAUAUCCAGCAGAGACAUCCAAUACGUCACAAAACCAACCAACAAUGAUAAUGAACCGACAAGGACUGAACAAAACAGAAGGCAAUAUACAUAGAUCAGCCAUAACAUAGGGAAGUAAAUAAAACUGAUUAUUAUGUUACCAUAGCACCUGUCAGUGGGUGGAAUAUAUUUGGCAGCAAAUGAACAUUGUGUGCUCAAAUUUGAUGAGUGUGAAGCAGGAAAAAUGGGAAAGUGCAAGGAUUUGAGUGACUUUGACAAGGGCCUAACUGUGAUGGCUGACUGCGUCAGAGCGUCUCCAAAACGGUCUGCAGUGGUCAGUACAUCAAAAGUGGUCCAAGGAAGGAAAAGCUGUGAACUGGCGACAGGGUCAUGGAUGGCCAAGGCUCAGUGAUGCAUGUUGGAUUUGAAGGCUGGCCUGUGUGGUAUGAUCCAACAGACCAGCUACUGUACAACACCAAAACCCAAAAUCAUGACAGAAACCCAAACCCCCACCCCAGGAAGCUCUUGGUGUUUGGAGUCAGAGUCAGGGUCAGAGUCCAGAGUGUGGUUGUGAAAAGGAAAAGGAUCAGAUGCGAAGAGUGAGGCGAACGGCAGAGGGCAAUACAGGUGGACUGAACAGUUCCGGGGGGAAAACCUGGAGGUCGACCCAACAGGCUGAGCAGGUCAGGAGGUCAACACGCACGUCUAUGCUGGGGAACAGGCAGGCUUCUAGCUGGUUGAGCGAUAGCAUGCAGGAACCUGUUAGCAUGUUGUAGAAUGUAUCAUUCAUUUAUUUUAAUUUCAAUGCUUAAUUAAAGUUUUUUGUACAUUUUAGUGAAAGCCACCCCCUCUCCUCCCGUUACCUCUUCCUCACCCACCUCACCUCCUGGUUCCUCCUCUCCUCCUCUCUCUGUUCAAUCUUUCUGUGUGCUGGUUCUACUGGUUCUACUGGUUCUACUGAUUCUUCUGGUUCUACUGGUGAGACGAUGCAACCGUUGGAAACCUAAAGCUGCUGAAGUAGAAGUUGGGGAUGAUGACAUCCCAGAUGACAUCACAGAUGACAUCACAUACAGUGAUAUCAAAAUAUCACAUCGCCUACAGCAGCCAAUCAGACGCAGCAGAGAGAGUGAACCAGUUGCAGUCUACUCAGCAGUGAGAGGAGCAGGAGACGUCAGUUAUGGACAAAUAGUCAUCAGACCACACAA